UGGGAGUCAGCAACGCCCGAAGCCGGUGACCCAACCUUUCUAGGAGGGAGCCGUCGAAGGCGGGGCCGAUGACUGGGUGAAGUCGUAACAAGGUAGC
RNAcentral lists this ribosomal RNA (97 nucleotides) under uncultured bacterium. RNAcentral's name for it is "partial 16S ribosomal RNA". It matches the Rfam family "Bacterial small subunit ribosomal RNA", at positions 1405 to 1500 of the family's 1533-position model. The record is from RNAcentral.